UUUUCGACACUUGUUUUGAAAUAGUUAUUUAUGCAACCGAGGUAUAUAUACUAUUUUCAUUACACCAACUACGAAAGUUGUAAUUUUCGCUUCCCGAAUGAGAUGCGAAAGUAUAAAAAUUCAACUCUCAGUUAGCCACGACAUCACAAGAGGUGCGAAAAUACUUUCGCCUCCCAACAGAGGAA
This is a long non-coding RNA of Bradysia coprophila, 185 nucleotides long. NCBI's taxonomy places the organism in Eukaryota, Metazoa, Arthropoda, Insecta, Diptera, Sciaridae. The record is from RefSeq and is a predicted model, not a curated record.